GACGAACGCUGGCGGCGUGCCUAAUACAUGCAAGUCGAGCGAGCUUGCCUAGAUGAAUUUGGUGCUUGCACCAAAUGAAACUAGAUACAAGCGAGCGGCGGACGGGUGAGUAACACGUGGGUAACCUGCCCAAGAGACUGGGAUAACACCUGGAAACAGAUGCUAAUACCGGAUAACAACACUAGGCGCAUGUCUAGAGUUUAAAAGAUGGUUCUGCUAUCACUCUUGGAUGGACCUGCGGUGCAUUAGCUAGUUGGUAAGGUAACGGCUUACCAAGGCAAUGAUGCAUAGCCGAGUUGAGAGACUGAUCGGCCACAUUGGGACUGAGACACGGCCCAAACUCCUACGGGAGGCAGCAGUAGGGAAUCUUCCACAAUGGACGCAAGUCUGAUGGAGCAACGCCGCGUGAGUGAAGAAGGGUUUCGGCUCGUAAAGCUCUGUUGGUAGUGAAGAAAGAUAGAGGUAGUAACUGGCCUUUAUUUGACGGUAAUUACUUAGAAAGUCACGGCUAACUACGUGCCAGCAGCCGCGGUAAUACGUAGGUGGCAAGCGUUGUCCGGAUUUAUUGGGCGUAAAGCGAGUGCAGGCGGUUCAAUAAGUCUGAUGUGAAAGCCUUCGGCUCAACCGGAGAAUUGCAUCAGAAACUGUUGAACUUGAGUGCAGAAGAGGAGAGUGGAACUCCAUGUGUAGCGGUGGAAUGCGUAGAUAUAUGGAAGAACACCAGUGGCGAAGGCGGCUCUCUGGUCUGCAACUGACGCUGAGGCUCGAAAGCAUGGGUAGCGAACAGG
RNAcentral lists this ribosomal RNA (788 nucleotides) under uncultured Lactobacillus sp. RNAcentral's name for it is "bacterial SSU rRNA". It matches the Rfam family "Bacterial small subunit ribosomal RNA", at positions 28 to 776 of the family's 1533-position model. The record is from RNAcentral. Lineage: Bacteria; Bacillati; Bacillota; Bacilli; Lactobacillales; Lactobacillaceae.